RNAcentral lists this ribosomal RNA (1460 nucleotides) under uncultured organism. RNAcentral describes it as "16S ribosomal RNA". It matches the Rfam family "Bacterial small subunit ribosomal RNA". The record is from RNAcentral.
UGAACGCUGGCGGCAGGCCUAACACAUGCAAGUCGAACGGUAACAGGAAGCAGCUUGCUGCUUUGCUGACGAGUGGCGGACGGGUGAGUAAUGUCUGGGAAACUGCCUGAUGGAGGGGGAUAACUACUGGAAACGGUAGCUAAUACCGCAUAACGUCGCAAGACCAAAGAGGGGGACCUUCGGGCCUCUUGCCAUCGGAUGUGCCCAGAUGGGAUUAGCUAGUAGGUGGGGUAACGGCUCACCUAGGCGACGAUCCCUAGCUGGUCUGAGAGGAUGACCAGCCACACUGGAACUGAGACACGGUCCAGACUCCUACGGGAGGCAGCAGUGGGGAAUAUUGCACAAUGGGCGCAAGCCUGAUGCAGCCAUGCCGCGUGUAUGAAGAAGGCCUUCGGGUUGUAAAGUACUUUCAGCGGGGAGGAAGGGAGUAAAGUUAAUACCUUUGCUCAUUGACGUUACCCGCAGAAGAAGCACCGGCUAACUCCGUGCCAGCAGCCGCGGUAAUACGGAGGGUGCAAGCGUUAAUCGGAAUUACUGGGCGUAAAGCGCACGCAGGCGGUUUGUUAAGUCAGAUGUGAAAUCCCCGGGCUCAACCUGGGAACUGCAUCUGAUACUGGCAAGCUUGAGUCUCGUAGAGGGGGGUAGAAUUCCAGGUGUAGCGGUGAAAUGCGUAGAGAUCUGGAGGAAUACCGGUGGCGAAGGCGGCCCCCUGGACGAAGACUGACGCUCAGGUGCGAAAGCGUGGGGAGCAAACAGGAUUAGUUACCCUGGUAGUCCACGCCGUAAACAAUGUCGACUUGGAGGUUGUGCCCUUGAGGCGUGGCUUCCGGAGCUAACGCGUUAAGUCGACCGCCUGGGGAGUACGGCCGCAAGGUUAAAACUCAAAUGAAUUGACGGGGGCCCGCACAAGCGGUGGAGCAUGUGGUUUAAUUCGAUGCAACGCGAAGAACCUUACCUGGUCUUGACAUCCACGGAAGUUUUCAGAGAUGAGAAUGUGCCUUCGGGAACCGUGAGACAGGUGCUGCAUGGCUGUCGUCAGCUCGUGUUGUGAAAUGUUGGGUUAAGUCCCGCAACGAGCGCAACCCUUAUCCUUUGUUGCCAGCGGUCCGGCCGGGAACUCAAAGGAGACUGCCAGUGAUAAACUGGAGGAAGGUGGGGAUGACGUCAAGUCAUCAUGGCCCUUACGACCAGGGCUACACACGUGCUACAAUGGCGCAUACAAAGAGAAGCGACCUCGCGAGAGCAAGCGGACCUCAUAAAGUGCGUCGUAGUCCGGAUUGGAGUCUGCAACUCGACUCCAUGAAGUCGGAAUCGCUAGUAAUCGUGGAUCAGAAUGCCACGGUGAAUACGUUCCCGGGCCUUGUACACACCGCCCGUCACACCAUGGGAGUGGGUUGCAAAAGAAGUAGGUGGCUUAACCUUCGGGAGGGCGCUUACCACUUUGUGAUUCAUGACUGGGG